This 254-nucleotide ribosomal RNA is filed under the name uncultured bacterium. RNAcentral describes it as "partial 16S ribosomal RNA". It matches the Rfam family "Bacterial small subunit ribosomal RNA", at positions 524 to 776 of the family's 1533-position model. The record is from RNAcentral.
UACGUAGGGGGCAAGCGUUGUCCGGAUUCAUUGGGCGUAAAGAGCUCGUAGGCGGUUCAGUAAGUCAGGUGUGAAAGCUCCGAGCUCAACUCGGAGAGGCCACCUGAUACUGCUGUGACUUGAGUCCAGUAGAGGAGCGUGGAACUCCUGGUGUAGCGGUGGAAUGCGCAGAUAUCAGGAAGAACACCUGCAGCGAAGGCGGCGCUCUGGGCUGGAACUGACGCUGAGGAGCGAAAGCAUGGGUAGCAAACAGG